Molecule: ribosomal RNA, 169 nt
Filed under: Fusarium solani
Lineage: Eukaryota; Fungi; Ascomycota; Sordariomycetes; Hypocreales; Nectriaceae
Description: 5.8S ribosomal RNA
Rfam family: 5.8S ribosomal RNA
About the family: 5.8S ribosomal RNA (5.8S rRNA) is a component of the large subunit of the eukaryotic ribosome. It is transcribed by RNA polymerase I as part of the 45S precursor that also contains 18S and 28S rRNA.
Source: RNAcentral
AACUUUCAACAACGGAUCUCUUGGCUCUGGCAUCGAUGAAGAACGCAGCGAAAUGCGAUAAGUAAUGUGAAUUGCAGAAUUCAGUGAAUCAUCGAAUCUUUGAACGCACAUUGCGCCCGCCAGUAUUCUGGCGGGCAUGCCUGUUCGAGCGUCAUUACAACCCUCAGGC